CCUACGGGAGGCUGCAGUGGGGAAUAUUGGACAAUGGGGGCAACCCUGAUCCAGCCAUGCCGCGUGUGUGAAGAAGGCCCUCGGGUUGUAAAGCACUUUCAGUGAGGAAGAACGCCUGGUGGUUAAUACCCAUCAGGAAAGACAUCACUCACAGAAGAAGCACCGGCUAACUCCGUGCCAGCAGCCGCGGUAAUACGGAGGGUGCGAGCGUUAAUCGGAAUUACUGGGCGUAAAGCGCGCGUAGGUGGCUUGAUAAGCCGGUUGUGAAAGCCCCGGGCUCAACCUGGGAACGGCAUCCGGAACUGUCAAGCUAGAGUGCAGGAGAGGAAGGUAGAAUUCCCGGUGUAGCGGUUAAAUGCGUAGAGAUCGGGAGGAAUACCAGUGGCGAAGGCGGCCUUCUGGACUGACACUGACACUGAGGUGCGAAAGCGUGGGUAGCAAACAGGAUUAGAUACCCCGGUAGUC
This 465-nucleotide ribosomal RNA is filed under the name Vreelandella stevensii. Its description in RNAcentral is "partial 16S ribosomal RNA". It matches the Rfam family "Bacterial small subunit ribosomal RNA", at positions 338 to 795 of the family's 1533-position model. The record is from RNAcentral. Lineage: Bacteria; Pseudomonadati; Pseudomonadota; Gammaproteobacteria; Oceanospirillales; Halomonadaceae.